CUACACACAUGCUACAAUGCAGGGUACAACGGGAAGCGAAGCCGCGAGGUGGAGCAAAUCCCCAAAAGCCCUGCUCAGUUCGGAUCGUACGCUGCAAUUCGCGUGCGUGAAGUCGGAGUCGCUAGUAACCGUGGAUCAGCAAAGCCGCGGUGAAUACGUUCCCGGGCCUU
RNAcentral lists this ribosomal RNA (170 nucleotides) under uncultured Coprothermobacter sp. RNAcentral's name for it is "partial 16S ribosomal RNA". It matches the Rfam family "Bacterial small subunit ribosomal RNA", at positions 1214 to 1382 of the family's 1533-position model. Lineage: Bacteria; Pseudomonadati; Coprothermobacterota; Coprothermobacteria; Coprothermobacterales; Coprothermobacteraceae. The record is from RNAcentral.